GCCGUUCUGAUUGGAUUGCCCAUCCUGUAGCCGGAGAUAAUGAUGAGGCAGUACGUAAAGAGUAUGACUCUGAAACCAUAUUCAUAUGGAACCAGCGAUGGAUACAGCUUCAUGAACGACGUUAUAGCCCCUGCUUGAGCAAGGCUCUGCAAUUUGGCCGCAGGCCAUGGCUACUUGCAUCAUGGUGAUGGCGAAGAUUCCGGCGAGGAGGCUCCCGAGAGCUCGGUUGAACCCUCUGUUGAAUGUAGCACCUACAAUGAACAGAAAUUACAUGAUAAAUUUAUUACAAUUUCAUGAAAGUGAGCAUAUAUAUUUGUAAUGUUAUAAAUGAACAUACCUACGGUGUAUUCGAACAUGAUAGCUACUGUAAGUAUGGACCAAAUGAUGCUGGUUCCAAAUACCUCAUAUGGUGCUCUGAUAAGUAUCAACAGGGAGACAAGCAGCACAGCCA
This is a long non-coding RNA of Dendrobium catenatum, 451 nucleotides long. RefSeq lists it as uncharacterized. The record is from RefSeq and is a predicted model, not a curated record. NCBI's taxonomy places the organism in Eukaryota, Viridiplantae, Streptophyta, Magnoliopsida, Asparagales, Orchidaceae. The transcript is spliced from 2 exons.